This 482-nucleotide ribosomal RNA is filed under the name uncultured bacterium. RNAcentral describes it as "bacterial SSU rRNA". It matches the Rfam family "Bacterial small subunit ribosomal RNA", at positions 1 to 526 of the family's 1533-position model. The record is from RNAcentral.
ACUAGCAGUAAGAGUUUGAUCCUGGCUCAGAACGAACGCUGGCGGCAGGCCUAACACAUGCAAGUCGAACGCUGUAGCAAUACAGAGUGGCAGACGGGUGAGUAACACGUGGGAAUCUUCCUAUCGGUACGGAAUAGCUCAGGGAAACUUGGGGUAAUACCGCAUACGCCCUUCGGGGGAAAGAUUUAUCGCCGAUAGAUGAGCCCGCGUCUGAUUAGCUAGUUGGUGAGGUAAUGGCUCACCAAGGCGACGAUCAGUAGCUGGUCUGAGAGGAUGACCAGCCACACUGGGACUGAGACACGGCCCAGACUCCUACGGGAGGCAGCAGUGGGGAAUAUUGGACAAUGGGCGCAAGCCUGAUCCAGCCAUGCCGCGUGGAUGAUGAAGGCCCUAGGGUUGUAAAGUCCUUUCGGCGGGGAAGAUAAUGACGGUACCUCGCGAAUAAGCCACGGCUAACUACGUGCCAGCCGCCGCGGUAAUAC